This 78-nucleotide non-coding RNA is filed under the name unclassified sequences. RNAcentral describes it as "skipping-rope RNA". It matches the Rfam family "skipping-rope RNA". From Rfam's summary of the family: Firmicutes, Fusobacteria, AlphaProteobacteria, Spirochaetes. The record is from Rfam by way of RNAcentral.
GGUACUAAAAGUAGAGAAUGUGCUGCUACGCACCCUAUGGGUCAAAAGAAAUGCUGGAUUGGCACACAGCUUAGUACC